Molecule: long non-coding RNA, 816 nt
Filed under: Equus asinus (donkey)
Lineage: Eukaryota; Metazoa; Chordata; Mammalia; Perissodactyla; Equidae
Description: lncRNA (ENSEASG00005024264.1)
Source: RNAcentral
CAUCUAGACUCAGCGGCGGGCGAUCCCAUCCAAGCACCCUGAGAUCUCGGUGUUGAGAAAGAGGGGGUACAGGAGGCGGGGAGGAGGGUGAGGAGGACUGCAGAGCUCAGGCGCUGAGCUGUGCACUGGAGGGGGGAGGGAUGGGAGCUCCCUUCCAGCCUUGGGGGUCUGGGGACUCAGGGAUGUAAGGCGAGAGCAGGGGGGUGUGACAAUUCAGCAGAGGUCGGGACGUACCACGGAGCCCAGUGGCGGGGGGGGGGCAGAGGACGUGGUCAUCAAGGGGAGCCCCCGCCCGCCUUCGCAAAGGCCUACGCCUGAGGUUGCAGGGAGAACUGGAACUGGGCUCCCGGUAGGGGGAAGCGGUGUAUUAAAUCCGCCCCCUACUCAUACCCCACUUCCGAGGGGGUGGACGAUAGAGGGAGGUUGGGGUUGGAGCAGCGGCGAGGGGGCCCCUCCCUAGCACCUCCCCCCACCGGACUUGGUCGCGCCCGAAGUGUAACACUUUCUCUUUGUCGGAGGAGCUCCGCUGUUUCCUGUGCUGUAGCUCCCGUUGCAGCGGCGCCCGUGGCAGCCCUGGCGGACGCAGGAGCGAUGGCAGCGACCGAUAUAGCUCGCCAGGUGACCAGAAGUUCGAUUGCAAAGGGAGGGGAUGAUUCCAUUUGGGGGAACAAUCUAGCCUUUCUAUUCAUCCAUGGCUAUCUGGGAUUUUAAGAAGCCCACAAUUACCAGCACCCUGAGAUGAGGAAGGAGAGAAAAGCAGAGAGUGGAGAUAACAAUGGCCAGAACACUGAGAAAACUCUGUUUAAAGAGCCUGGC